CAUAAUCGAAUUCGAGAAUGCAAUUUUACAAUCACUAUCUUCUUAAAAUCUUUCUUAGUGAAAGCAUUUCCUCACAAUCAUUUUCAUGAAGGAGGAAAUCUUAUGACACUUAGAUUUAAGCGGUGUAUGUGUUCCUAUCCAUGUGAAUUUGUUAAAACUAAAGUUUACGACAAAUUCAAACUCAUAUGGACUGAACUUUCUUAAUCUUGAUUUCUUGCUUUAUGGUAGCACAGCUGCCUACCAUGUCUUCCAAGUAGUUAAGCAGCUCACCCUUUCCUAUCAAUGUACCUUUCAUUGAUUAAGGUGCUUUGCCUUUUAUGCGUUCAAAAUGAGAACUCAUAGAACUCACAUGCAUAAUUAACUCGAUUGGAUUGGCACAGAAUCAAAAUAAUGUCAACACGAUAGGUUGUAAACCUCAACUCGUGUGUUAGUGAUGAUUCAUAAGGUUUAUUUGAUUUGUUCUUGAAACCUUUCAAGACCAUUAAGACUCCCACUGACUCUUUGACAUAUAAGAUUCUCUUGUCAAAACCAUUUCUUGACAAACAAAUAUUCAAGAGUUAGUGUAGCUUUUAUCAAAACUCUUCAUAAGGUUUAUUUGAUUUGUUCUUGAAACCUUUCAAGACCAUUAAGACUCCCACUGACUCUUUGACAUAUAAGAUUCUCUUGUCAAAACCAUUUCUUGACAAACAAAUAUUCAAGAGUUAGUGUAGCUUUUAUCAAAACACUUCAUAAAUUGGUCCUAGUUGGUCUUUGUCUUAUCCAAGACAUCACAACUUUCCACAUUUAAUGAAAGUUACAAACCUUCUUAAUACCUUUCACUCAAUGUCACAAUCUUAACUUUAAGAUUUGUUAUUGGAACGAAGUAUGAUUGACUUAUUGAUUUAACCAUUUCUUCAAUUCUUGAUUCCUCUUCUUAGACAUACAAUUGUACUAAGACUCACUUAGAGGAUCAAUUGAGAUAUGGUUCUUAAUCAUUAAGACCUAUCAUAAAGCAUAAAAGG
This 1001-nucleotide long non-coding RNA is filed under the name Lactuca sativa (garden lettuce). RNAcentral describes it as "long non-coding RNA (LSAT_LNC005515)". Lineage: Eukaryota; Viridiplantae; Streptophyta; Magnoliopsida; Asterales; Asteraceae. The record is from RNAcentral.